Molecule: long non-coding RNA, 473 nt
Filed under: Homo sapiens (human)
Lineage: Eukaryota; Metazoa; Chordata; Mammalia; Primates; Hominidae
Description: HSALNT0325592
Source: RNAcentral
GAGGAAGUGAGCUGCCAUGUACUAGGCCACGUGGCAAGGGCCUGGUUGGGGACCUCCAGGGGUUGAGAGCAUCCUCUGGACAACAUGGAAAAAGAAAAUGAAAAUGGUGACCUCAGCCCUAUAGCUAGAAGGAAUUGAAUCCUGUCAACAACGAUCAACAGGCUAUUGGGUUUGGAGUGAAUUCUCAGAAACAUCACUACUGACAUAACUCCAUAAAGAAUUCAUAAUUUCUACUCACAUGUUUUACCCACAUCAAUAACAGAAUCUCAGGAAAACCAAAGUGGAGUUUACAAUGUUCAUUUUGACACUGUGCAUUAGACUUCUCGACUUCAAGCUACAAAAACCAGCACAGAACCUGGAAAAAUUUUACCUCCUGGCAUUUUUGUUUCUCUACCCUGAUGCUUGUUGUUGAGUUUUACCCAUGCUUUGACCAUCAGCAAAUUGAAGAUAAGAAAAGGAAUAAAGUUUAUCAA